Molecule: ribosomal RNA, 279 nt
Filed under: unidentified marine bacterioplankton
Lineage: Bacteria
Also listed under: 1 other name
Description: partial 16S ribosomal RNA
Rfam family: Bacterial small subunit ribosomal RNA
Source: RNAcentral
AAGUCGAACGAUGAAGGGGAGCUUGCUCCCUGGAUUAGUGGCGAACGGGUGAGUAACACGUGAGCAACCUGCCCCUAACUCUGGGAUAACGCUUCGAAAGGAGUGCUAAUACCGGAUACCAGCACGGAGGACAUCCUCUGUGCUUGAAAGUUUUUCGGUUAGGGAUGGGCUCGCGGCCUAUCAGCUUGUUGGUGAGGUAAAAGCUCACCAAGGCGACGACGGGUAUCCGGCCUGAGAGGGCGACCGGACACACUGGGACUGAGACACGGCCCAGACUCC